CCGCUGGAUGAUGAAGAGAUGGUUUCGUACAUCCUCACCGGACUCGACAUUGAAUUUAAUCCAGUCGUGUCCACCAUCGUCGCGCGAGUUGAACCAAUCACUAUAUGUGAAUUGUACAUGCAUUUAUUAAGUUUUGAAA
Small nucleolar RNA from Phragmites australis (common reed), 139 nucleotides. RefSeq annotates it as small nucleolar RNA Z247. Lineage: Eukaryota; Viridiplantae; Streptophyta; Magnoliopsida; Poales; Poaceae. The record is from RefSeq and is a predicted model, not a curated record. The transcript has a single exon.